AGUGAAAUUGCUGAGUUAUAUGGUAAUUUUAUGUGUAACUUUGUAAGAAAUUUCCAAACUGUUUUCCAUAGUAGCUGCACCAUAUUACAUUAUCAUUAGUAAU
This 103-nucleotide microRNA precursor is filed under the name Marmota monax (woodchuck). Lineage: Eukaryota; Metazoa; Chordata; Mammalia; Rodentia; Sciuridae. The record is from RNAcentral.